RNAcentral lists this ribosomal RNA (484 nucleotides) under uncultured bacterium. Its description in RNAcentral is "partial 16S ribosomal RNA". It matches the Rfam family "Bacterial small subunit ribosomal RNA", at positions 28 to 523 of the family's 1533-position model. The record is from RNAcentral.
GACGAACGCUGGCGGCGUGCUUAACACAUGCAAGUCGAACGAUGAUGCUGGAGCUUGCUCCAGUUGAUUAGUGGCGAACGGGUGAGUAACACGUGAGCAAUCUGCCCUUGACUCUGGGAUAACUGCGGGAAACUGUAGCUAAUACCGGAUACUUUCACCGGAAGGCAUCUUUUGGUGAUGAAAGAAUUUCGGUCAGGGAUGAGCUCGCGGCCUAUCAGCUUGUUGGUGAGGUAACGGCUCACCAAGGCGACGACGGGUAACCGGCCUGAGAGGGUGACCGGGCACGCUGGGGCUGAGACACGGCCCAGACUCCGACGGGAGGCAGCAGGGGGGAAUAUUGCACAAUGGGCUCAAGCCUGAUGCAGCAACGCCGCGUGAGGGAUGAAGGCCUUCGGGUUGUAAACCUCUUUUAGCAGGGAAGGAGCGAAAGUGACGGUACCUGCAGAAAAAGCACCGGCUAACUACGUGCCAGCAGCCGCCGCGG